Molecule: long non-coding RNA, 630 nt
Organism: Asparagus officinalis (garden asparagus)
Lineage: Eukaryota; Viridiplantae; Streptophyta; Magnoliopsida; Asparagales; Asparagaceae
Exons: 3
Source: RefSeq, a predicted model, not a curated record
CAACUAAAUUUAAGCAUGUAAUCAAGAGGAUGCUUUACAUUGUUUGAGAAGCUAAUUAAACUAUUGGAUGAUAUUUAUUUCAUUAAAAAGUGAUUACAUCUAUAUCUAUAUCUGAAUGAUCAGAGGUGUAAAUAUGAUAAAUUAAAUCAUACCUGCUAUACACUUUCCAAAAUGAUUAUUCUUUUGUAGAUCCUCCAUCAAUGAGUCUAGUUUGAUCUUGAACACUCUUGCGACGAUAUCUGGUCUUUCAUCGGGUCUUUGUCCGCCAUUAUUUCUGAGAAAUUCAAGAAUUUCAUUCCACUUUGGAUUUGAUGUUACCGUGAUGAAAAGAUCAGGGUUUCCCAUAACACGGCAAAGAGCUAUUGCAUCUUGGUAAUUUUGGGUCAUAUAACGUGGUCCGCCAGUGAAAGAGGAAGGUCAUAAGAUCCACAAUGUAAGUUUGUAAUAGUUUCCCUGAUAAGAGUAAUGUUUGUGCCUCAGUCUGGCGCUGCUGCAAACGAAAUGAAGCAUACUCCAUUUAACAGAUUCCAGAGAAAAACAGGAGGAUGCUUGAGGAGAGGAAAUUUGACAGAUCCUUUUCGACAGCAUAGUGAGAAAGUUGGGUUUUGAGGGCUCUUUGAUUUCUCAGCU